GAGUGUGAAAACUUCUCUGGCCUCUCCACCUGCUCAAGCAUCGGUGGCUGUAACAUCUUUAGCACAGCAAGCUGCUAGUGUUCAGGAUCAAUCUGAUGAAGUAGCAUCACAGGACAGUAGCUCUGAAAUAGUUGUUAGAACCCCACCUCCUAAAAGUAGUGCAGUUGCUACUUCUGCUCCCACAACGCCUGCUGGGAGUCAUGCAACCCAGGGUGCUGCUGCUUUAUCUCCAACUAGUAUGUCAAAUGCAAUAAAAGAAGACGAUCUGACAAGUUUUCCAGCUCGAAAGCCUUCCCCUGCCCUUAGUGAAACUGCUUUAAGAGGUGUUAGUAGAGGUGCUCUAUCUAACCAACCCGUGGCUAGUAUUGCACUUGGUUCUACUGGUUCAGUUACUGGCAAUGGAGGUCUAGGAG
This 413-nucleotide unclassified non-coding RNA is filed under the name Hevea brasiliensis (rubber tree). The record is from RNAcentral. Lineage: Eukaryota; Viridiplantae; Streptophyta; Magnoliopsida; Malpighiales; Euphorbiaceae.